This 70-nucleotide transfer RNA is filed under the name Kinyongia uluguruensis. RNAcentral describes it as "transfer RNA-Trp". The record is from RNAcentral. Lineage: Eukaryota; Metazoa; Chordata; Lepidosauria; Squamata; Chamaeleonidae.
AGGAGCUUAGGAUUAAUGAAACCAGGGGCCUUCAAAGCCCCAAAAAAGAGAUAUAAUCUCUUAGCUCCUG